GGAUUAGAUACCCUGGUAGUCCACGCCGUAAACGAUGGUCACUCGCUGUUGGCGACACAAUGUCAGUGGCUGAGCGAAAGCAUUAAGUGACCCACCUGGGGAGUACGUUCGCAAGAAUGAAACUCAAAGGAAUUGACGGGGGCCCGCACAAGCGGUGGAGCAUGUGGUUUAAUUCGAUGAUACGCGAGGAACCUUACCAGGGCUUAAAUGCAAAACGACCGGGGUGGAAACACCCCUUUCUUCGGACGGAUUGCAAGGUGCUGCAUGGUUGUCGUCAGCUCGUGCCG
Molecule: ribosomal RNA, 287 nt
Filed under: uncultured bacterium
Lineage: Bacteria
Description: partial 16S ribosomal RNA
Rfam family: Bacterial small subunit ribosomal RNA
Source: RNAcentral